AACGUAGGAGGCGAGCGUUAUCCGGAUUCACUGGGCGUAAAGCGCGUGUAGGUGGUUCGUUAAGUGGCAGGUGAAAGCCCCUGGCUCAACUGGGGGAGGUCCUGCCAAACUGGCGGACUGGAGGAUCGGAGAGGAGAGUGGAAUUCCCGGUGUAGCGGUGGAAUGCGUAGAGAUCGGGAGGAACACCAGUGGCGAAAGCGGCUCUCUGGCCGAUAACUGACACUGAGACGCGAAAGCGUGGGUAGCAAACGG
This 252-nucleotide ribosomal RNA is filed under the name uncultured bacterium. RNAcentral describes it as "partial 16S ribosomal RNA". It matches the Rfam family "Bacterial small subunit ribosomal RNA", at positions 524 to 775 of the family's 1533-position model. The record is from RNAcentral.